GCUCCCUUAGCUCAGUAGGAUAGAGCGGACCCCUCCUAAGGGUCAGGCCGUUGGUUCGAUUCCAGCAGGGAGCGCCA
RNAcentral lists this transfer RNA (77 nucleotides) under Oceanisphaera profunda. RNAcentral's name for it is "tRNA-Arg". It matches the Rfam family "tRNA". From Rfam's summary of the family: Transfer RNA (tRNA) molecules are approximately 80 nucleotides in length. Their secondary structure includes four short double-helical elements and three loops (D, anti-codon, and T loops). Lineage: Bacteria; Pseudomonadati; Pseudomonadota; Gammaproteobacteria; Aeromonadales; Aeromonadaceae. The record is from RNAcentral.